Molecule: ribosomal RNA, 254 nt
Filed under: uncultured bacterium
Lineage: Bacteria
Description: partial 16S ribosomal RNA
Rfam family: Bacterial small subunit ribosomal RNA
Source: RNAcentral
UACGUAGGGGGCAAGCGUUGUCCGGAUUUAUUGGGCGUAAAGAGCUCGUAGGUGGUUCGGUAAGUCGGAUGUGAAAUCUCCAGGCUCAACCUGGAGGGGUCAUUCGAUACUGCCGUGACUAGAGUUCGGUAGGGGAGUGUGGAAUUCCUGGUGGAGCGGUGAAAUGCGUAGAUAUCGGGAGGAACACCAGUGGCGAAGGCGACUUCCUGGCCUGUUCUUGACGCUGAGGCGCGAAAGCUAGGGGAGCAAACGGG